ACAUGAAAGACUGAUCAACAGGUUAGACUAGACGUCCUCAGCGGAAUACAACAGAAGCAAACAUUCUAGAACUAAGGACAGAGACAAACUGGAGAUCAACAUGCUUUCUAUCAGAUCCUUGGACACAAUUGUUUUGAUACUAUUUAUCUCCAGUUUACGCACAGAUGCAAGGCCCAUGAGAAAAAGGUCCAUCAGUGAGGUGCAGCUCAUGCACAACAUGCAGGUGCACAAACAGGUGGGGGAAAGACAGGACUGGCUGCAGUCAAAAUUAAAGGAUAUACUUGCUGCCUCACACGCCAAAGCCCAGCAUGGACGAUCAGGGAAAAUCAGUAAUCUCUAUCUUGAUGAUCUUAUGGGAACAAAUCUGGUCACCAGUUGAACCCAUUCAAGGGGUUUGUCUUAUAUUAUUGUAAGUCUUAAGCCACACAAGGAAAUACCUCCUACUAAAACUGUGCAUCUUACCUUGAAACUUAAUGAUUUAUAACAUAGGAGUCUGUUGAAGGUUAAUAUUUGAUGACUCCCACUAUGUUUCUAUUUUAUGUAUUUAUUGAUUGUAUUUAUGUAUGUAUUUUUUGUCUUUUUAUAUGAUUAUUUAUUAUCUUAUUUAUUGAGUUGAUACAUCUUUUUCAAGGGAUCUGAAUGAACACAAAUGCCUGAAAAUAUGUUCUAUGGACACUGCAAGGACCAAAAAACAAAACAAAACAUUCAGAACAGGUAGCUCAUAAAACAAUUAUAGAUGACCUCUUGCUCUUUUGC
This is a long non-coding RNA of Hypomesus transpacificus, 756 nucleotides long. RefSeq lists it as uncharacterized. The transcript is spliced from 3 exons. Lineage: Eukaryota; Metazoa; Chordata; Actinopteri; Osmeriformes; Osmeridae. The record is from RefSeq and is a predicted model, not a curated record.